AUCAAGCUGAUGAAUCCCAAAUAGGACGAAACACUCGUCAAACUGGAU
Molecule: non-coding RNA, 48 nt
Organism: Schistosoma curassoni
Lineage: Eukaryota; Metazoa; Platyhelminthes; Trematoda; Strigeidida; Schistosomatidae
Source: Rfam